This 253-nucleotide ribosomal RNA is filed under the name uncultured bacterium. Its description in RNAcentral is "partial 16S ribosomal RNA". It matches the Rfam family "Bacterial small subunit ribosomal RNA", at positions 524 to 776 of the family's 1533-position model. The record is from RNAcentral.
UACGAAGGGGGCUAGCGUUGUUCGGAUUUACUGGGCGUAAAGCGCGUGUAGGCGGGCUGAUAAGUUGGGGGUGAAAUCCCGAGGCUCAACCUCGGAACUGCCUCCAAAACUGUCAGCCUGGAGCAAAGUAGAGGCGAGUGGAAUUGCGAGUGUAGAGGUGAAAUUCGUAGAUAUUCGCAGGAACACCAGUGGCGAAGGCGACUCGCUGGACUUUUGCUGGCGCUGAGACGCGAAAGCGUGGGGAGCAAACAGG